Molecule: ribosomal RNA, 253 nt
Filed under: uncultured bacterium
Lineage: Bacteria
Description: partial 16S ribosomal RNA
Rfam family: Bacterial small subunit ribosomal RNA
Source: RNAcentral
UACGUAGGGGGCAAGCGUUGUCCGGAUUUAUUGGGCGUAAAGAGCGUGUAGGCGGCCAGACAGGUCCGUUGUGAAAACUGGAGGCUCAACCUCCAGACGUCGAUGGAAACCGUCUAGCUAGAGUCCGGAAGAGGAGAGUGGAAUUCCUGGUGUAGCGGUGAAAUGCGCAGAUAUCAGGAAGAACACCCGUGGCGAAAGCGGCUCUCUGGGACGGUACUGACGCUGAGACGCGAAAGCGUGGGGAGCGAACAGG